RNAcentral lists this ribosomal RNA (500 nucleotides) under uncultured Glomeromycotina. RNAcentral describes it as "partial small subunit ribosomal RNA". It matches the Rfam family "Eukaryotic small subunit ribosomal RNA", at positions 591 to 1092 of the family's 1831-position model. The record is from RNAcentral. Lineage: Eukaryota; Fungi; Glomeromycota.
CCAAUAGCGUAUAUUAAAGUUGUUGCAGUUAAAAAGCUCGUAGUUGAAUUUCGGGGUUAGUAGGUCGGUCAUGCCACUGGUAUGUACUGGUUUCACUGACUCCUCCUUCCUGAUGAACCGUAAUGCCAUUAAUUUGGUGUUGCGGGGAGACUGGACUGUUACUUUGAAAAAAUUAGCGUGUUUAAAGCAGGCUAACGCUUGAAUACAUUAGCAUGGAAUAAUGAAAUAGGACGUUCGAUCCUAUUUUGUUGGUUUCUAGGAUUGACGUAAUGAUUAAUAGGGAUAGUUGGGGGCACUAGUAUUCAAUUGUCAGAGGUGAAAUUCUUGGAUUUAUUGAAGACUAACUACUGCGAAAGCAUUUGCCAAGGAUGUUUUCAUUAAUCAAGAACGAAAGUUAGGGGAUCGAAGACGAUCAGAUACCGUCGUAGUCUUAACCAUAAACUAUGCCGACUAGGGAUCGGAUGAUGUUAAUUUUUUAAUGACUCAUUCGGCGCCUUACG